Molecule: ribosomal RNA, 406 nt
Filed under: uncultured bacterium
Lineage: Bacteria
Description: partial 16S ribosomal RNA
Rfam family: Bacterial small subunit ribosomal RNA
Source: RNAcentral
AUUGAACGCUGGCGGCAGGCCUCACACAUGCAAGUCGAGCGAGCGGCGGACGGGUGAGUAAUGUCUGGGAAACUGCCUGAUGGAGGGGGAUAACUACUGGAAACGGUAGCUAAUACCGCAUACCAUCAGAUGUGCCCAGAUGGGAUUAGCUAGUAGGUUGGGUAACGGAUCACCUAGGCGACGAUACCUAGCUGGUCUGAGAGAAUGACCAGCCAAACUGGAACUGAGACACGGUCCAGACUCCUCCGUGAGGCAGCAGUGGGGAAUAUUGCACAAUGGGCGAAAGCCUGAUGCAGCCAUGCCGCGUGGGUGAAGAAGGCCUUCGGGUUGUAAAGCACUUUCAGCGGGGAGGCGUUACCCGCAGAAGAAGCACCGGCUAACUCCGUACCAGCCGCGGCGGUAAUUC